Molecule: long non-coding RNA, 3849 nt
Filed under: Callithrix jacchus (white-tufted-ear marmoset)
Lineage: Eukaryota; Metazoa; Chordata; Mammalia; Primates; Cebidae
Description: lncRNA (ENSCJAG00000084350.1)
Source: RNAcentral
AUGGGAUAUUGUGAUACAAGCAUACAGUAUGUAAUGAUCAAAUCAGAAUACUUGGGAUAUCCAUCAGAGAUAAAAAGAAUCACAUUCUACACAUGCCCCAGCUCUAAUCCUUUUUCUACACCUGGCCUGAGUCAGAUAAAUUUUAAUCCUUUAUUUGCCACUGAAAACAAAGUUAGCUACUAUCUGGGUGGAAGCAAAGGUAGGGACUCCUGUAGGAGGGAGGUGUAGGUGGAUAUUGAUUUAGUCGGAUUUACUUUACCUUAUUUCACAAUAGAAGACUGUAUUGGGGGCUCCUGAAAGGGUCUAAAGAAAUGGAGUAAAAACAUACCAACCCCUGAGUUUUCUCUGUAAGCUGUUUCUCAGGAAACUUUAGGAAGCUUCCCUUGCCUUUUUAUCAGAUUUUAAACUCUACGAGGGCACAGAAUCUAUUUUUCACACAACUUGCAAGUUUUGAGGCUUUUAUUGCAUGUCAGGCACUGUUCUAGGUAUUGAGUGCAAGAAGAAAAAACAGAUUUUGGUUUAAGUAGCUUAUAUUCGUGUGUGUGUGUGUGUGUGCACGCACGCACGCGCACAUGUGUGCAUGUGCACACACGUGGUGAGAGUGUUUAUGUUUGCGUGGCAGGAGGGACACAGGUAAUAAAAAGACACAUAUAAAAUAUAUAAGGUGGCAAAAAUAAAUGCCAAUACUGAUGAGUUUCAUAAGAAAACCAAACCAGAAGGAUCUAGAAAUUGGCUGGGGUUGGGGUGGGUAGUUUCUAUUUUAUAUUGAAUAGUAGAAGAAGGAAACUCUGAUAGGUUAUUAUUUGAGAAGAAACAUGUUUCUGACAUUUUUCAGAAACAGCAAGAAGGUCAGUAUGACUUGAAAAGAGAAAUAAGGUGACUGGUAGGGCAAGCAACAAGGGGUUAGACUGUACAGGACCUUAGCAAAGCCAUGGCAAAGACAGUGUAUUCUACUUUGAAUAAAAUGAGAAGCAUUAGUGGGUUUUGAGCAAAGGCUCACUUCGGCUGCUGUGUUCAGACAGAACAGAGGAGGAAGCAUAGAACUUAGUUAUCUUUAUUAACUGCCUCUGGACACACCUAGAGCGCUGCAGAGGGGACUGAGUGAGAUAAUACUCACAGAGUUAUUGCAUGAGUUAAUACAUCCUAAGACCCUAGAACAUAAAAAUGCUCAGUGACUUUGUUUGGAGGCCAACAUAAUUAAGUGGUUAUGAGGUGGUCUUAACCAUUUCCAUGCCCGGAUUCAAUCCUUGCUCAAUUUCUUACUUGUUUGAUUUUCUAAAAGUUACCUAACUCCUUCAUUCCUUGAAUUUCUCAUCUGUAAAUGUGAAUAAUAAUAGUGUCUACCUCACAGAAUCAUUGUGAGGAUUCAAAUUAGUCUAUGUCUAUACAAUAUCUACGGCAUUACUGUGCACAUAGUAAACAUUCAAUAAAUGUUAUCAAUGUCACUAUAUAGCUUUUACGUUUAGAUGACAUUGUUUCAGGUUUUCCAUCUCAAAAGCUUCUUAUGAAGUAAGUCACAUAAAUACUAUUUCUAUUUUGUAGACAAGGGGAUUGACAUUCAGAGAAGUGAAAUGACUUGCUCAGAAUCACUUAGCUAGAAAACACUGGAGUGGAAUUGAACCCAGAUAUUCCUACUAUUCUUUUCAUUAUAUUCCACUGCAUUUGAAUGUUUAUAUACGUUUUAGAAGAACUCAGGGUCAAACCUCUGAGCUCUAAAUUGAUGAUUCUUUUUAUUUUAUCAUAGCUCUUAAUAAAAUAUUUGUAUAAUGAAUGAAAGUAUGCAUUAAUAAAAGAAAAAAUUAAACGAGAAAGGAGAAUCCUUUAGAAAGAAGACAAGUUUAGGUUGCUAGAACGUGCAGCGUGGAUUUAGGAGACUGGAUACCAAUCAGUUGUUGACACAUUGUAUAAUUCUGAGAAAAUUGCCUAACAUCUUGAGUCUUUGGUUUCUUCAUCUGCUAAAUGAAAUCUCAGUAUAUUCUCAUAUCUGCUGGCUAGAUUUGUGAAAAUAUAUGCCAAGAUAAAGAUGGAAACACUUAGGAAAAAAUGCUCCAUAUACCACAUGUGUUGCUACUAUUAAACUUCUCUAAGAAAAUUCAGAUCUAGACACCUCUAAAAUACCUUCUGGGGUUGGUUAGUAAGCAUUUGCUCAAAAACUUGAAUUUUUGCACUUUUUUUGGUGGGGGAGGGUGAGUAAGGAUUAAAACUUUUUUCUAGUGGCUUAAAUUCAUGGUAAUUUUCCUAACUACCUUAGAGAAAGUUGUCCAAUCUCACUUUCUUCUUGAUUUUCAUGGUAAAAGUAAUCGCCUGGUCUCUUAGUCCUUUCAGGAUGCUAUAACAAGAUGCUGUAGACUGGGUAGCUUAUAAACAACAGAGAUAUAUUUUUCACAGUUCUGGAGGUGGGGAAGUCCAAGCUGAAGCUGCCAGCAGAUUUGGUGUCUGGUGAGGACUCUCUUCUGGUUUCACAGACAGCACCUUGCUAUGUCCUCGUGUGGUAGAAGGGGAAAGAACUUCUUGGGACCUCUUACCCAAUCAGUAAUCCUAUUCAUGAGGACUCUGCUCUCAUGACAUGAACAUCUUCCAAAGGCCCCACAUCCAAGUAUCUUCACAUUGAAACUGUUCCACGUAUGAAUUUAGGGGAAUACAAAUAUUGAGACCUUAGCAAUAGCAGACUCUCUUUCCCAACUAUCAGCAGUCACCCUUAUUGGAAACAGUUAACAAAACUUUAUUGAUUUUGAUAAACAUUUAUUGAAUACCUAUUAUGUACCAAUAAUUCUAUUAGGGGAGGCCAAAAUGGUAAGACAUCAUUUCUGACCUUAUGGAGUUCAGAAUUGAAAUGGGAAGACAGUCUCACAAACCAUGCAGAAAUCACAUGUGAUAUAAACUAUAAUGGAAACAUUUACAAGAUGCUUUGGGCAUGUAUUCCAAAAUACGCUUACCCAUGACUGGUGUUGGAUGGAAAGGACUGGCUUAAGAAGGUGCGCCACAAAAGAUGUUCAAACUAAAUCUUGAAGUAGAGGCUGGAGAUUAAAUGAGCGCUGGGGCUUUGAAGAAGCAGAGUCUGUGAGUUCGUUCCUUUUAUUUAUUUUUUGAUUUAUUUAUUUAUUUUGCCACAAGCAGAUUUCUUUUUUUUUUUUAUUUUAGAGGAAUGGAAUAUAGUUGUUACUACAGGAGGAGGUUUUUUUGGGGAGGUAUUUUAGGACAUUUACUGGUUGAAGGAAAAAUGAGAUUAACAUUUUAGAAGAAAAUUAGCAAAGCAAUGCCUUGUGGAUGCAGGAGGGCUGAAUUAAUUUGAAGGGAGAAAGAAGACUUUGUUGCACUACUACCAACCUACGGAGGCACUGAUGUGACACAAGCACCCACUGUAGUAAGGCUAUUUUCUGAAUUCUUACACCGUUAAUGUCUGGGGAGAAUGUAACAUAGGGGCAUACAUCUUCAUAGAAAAUAAUAAGUAUUGGUUUGCCCCGAACUAUGAGACAUUUGCAUGUCAAAAUAUUUUAUAACAGUAGUAGGCAAAAUUGUUAUAAAACGGUGGCUGACGUGGCUUGUGUUUAAAAUUUCUACUCUAUCCUGAGCAAACAAGGGCUAGUCAGGAUAUUGAAGAAAGGUCACAGGCUUUAUGAAACAGACCAGUUGAGAUAAGCAGUCAGUAUUAUCUGAUAUUUCUCAAGACUGAACCUGAACUCCAAACCUGGAGCUUUGCCCAGCUGCACAUCCUAUCUGGCUUAUGCUUUUUCCUAUAGGCAACUAAGUCAGGAUCAGAUGGGUGGCAGAUACCAGGCCAUAUGUAUAUUUAUAAUAUUGCAAACUUGCCAUCAAGCUGACUAAGCCAAAUUAAGCAUAUAAGAAAUG